UGGGGAAUUUUGGACAAUGGGCGAAAGCCUGAUCCAGCAAUGCCGCGUGUGUGAAGAAGGCCUUCGGGUUGUAAAGCACUUUUGUCCGGAAAGAAAUCCUUGGCUCUAAUACAGUCGGGGGAUGACGGUACCGGAAGAAUAAGCACCGGCUAACUACGUGCCAGCAGCCGCGGUAAUACGUAGGGUGCAAGCGUUAAUCGGAAUUACUGGGCGUAAAGCGUGCGCAGGCGGUUUGCUAAGACCGAUGUGAAAUCCCCGGGCUCAACCUGGGAACUGCAUUGGUGACUGGCAGGCUAGAGUAUGGCAGAGGGGGGUAGAAUUCCACGUGUAGCAGUGAAAUGCGUAGAGAUGUGGAGGAAUACCGAUGGCGAAGGCAGCCCCCUGGGCCAAUACUGACGCUCAUGCACGAAAGCGUGGGGAGCAAAACAGGAUUAGAUACCCUGGUAGUCCACGCCCUAAACGAUGUCAACUAGUUGUUGGGGAUUCAUUUCCUUAGUAACGUAGCUAACGCGUGAAGUUGACCGCCUGGGGAGUACGGUCGCAAGAUUAAAACUCAAAUGAAUUAACGGGGUCAUAGCUG
RNAcentral lists this ribosomal RNA (580 nucleotides) under uncultured bacterium. RNAcentral describes it as "partial 16S ribosomal RNA". It matches the Rfam family "Bacterial small subunit ribosomal RNA", at positions 355 to 932 of the family's 1533-position model. The record is from RNAcentral.